RNAcentral lists this ribosomal RNA (322 nucleotides) under uncultured eukaryote. RNAcentral's name for it is "partial 18S ribosomal RNA". It matches the Rfam family "Eukaryotic small subunit ribosomal RNA", at positions 1470 to 1796 of the family's 1831-position model. The record is from RNAcentral.
CCCUUAGAUGUUCUGGGCCUCACGCGUGCUACACUGAGUGGAUCAGCGGGUCAGGUUGCGCGAAAGUGUUUCCUAAUCUUUAAAUCCGCUCGUGAUGGGGAUUGACGGUUGCAAUUUUCCGUCAUGAACGAGGAAUACCUUGUAAGCGCGGGUCAUCAUCCCGCGCUGAAUACGUCCCUGCCCUUUGUACACACCGCCCGUCGCUCCUACCGAUUGAGUGGUCCGGUGAGGCUUUGGGAUCUGAGCGGAAAGAGCGUUUCGCUGUUUCUGCCCGGAAAACUCAGUCGAACCUUAUCAUUUAGAGGAAGGAGAAGUCGUAACA